UAGGGAAUAUUAGAAAUGGACGCAAGUCUGAUCUAGCAACACCGCGUGUGCGAAGAAGGCCUUCGGGUUGUAAAGCACUUUUUGGAAGGAUUAGGAAGGAAUGUACUUCCAGAAUAAGUCUCGGCUAACUACGUGCCAGCAGCCGCGGUAACACGUAGGAGGCAAACGUUAUCCGGAUUUACUGGGCGUAAAGCGCGUGUAGGUGGUUCUGUAAGUAGGGCGUGAAAGCUCCUGGCUCAACUGGGAGAGGCCGUUCUAAACUGCAGAGCUAGAGGAUGGUAGAGGGAGGUGGAAUUCCGUGUGUAGCGGUUGAAUGCGCAGAUAUCCGGAGGAACACCAGUGGCGAAAGCGGCCUCCUGGACCAUUCCUGACACUCAGACGCGAAAGCUAGGGUAGCAAACGG
This 403-nucleotide ribosomal RNA is filed under the name uncultured bacterium. RNAcentral describes it as "bacterial SSU rRNA". It matches the Rfam family "Bacterial small subunit ribosomal RNA", at positions 355 to 775 of the family's 1533-position model. The record is from RNAcentral.